UGUGUGAAUGGCUCCAGUGGUGGGCACAGUUCAGCUAACAGCUAAUGAGCAGAGCUAACUUUUUCAUCAGCCGAUUACCUUUUCAGCCAUUAUAACUGAGAAA
Molecule: long non-coding RNA, 103 nt
Organism: Thalassophryne amazonica
Lineage: Eukaryota; Metazoa; Chordata; Actinopteri; Batrachoidiformes; Batrachoididae
Exons: 3
Source: RefSeq, a predicted model, not a curated record